This 393-nucleotide ribosomal RNA is filed under the name uncultured Desulfuromonas sp. RNAcentral's name for it is "bacterial SSU rRNA". It matches the Rfam family "Bacterial small subunit ribosomal RNA", at positions 991 to 1382 of the family's 1533-position model. The record is from RNAcentral. Lineage: Bacteria; Pseudomonadati; Thermodesulfobacteriota; Desulfuromonadia; Desulfuromonadales; Desulfuromonadaceae.
GAUCGCACUCUCUGGAAACAGAGGGGUCAGUUCGGCUGGAUCGGUGACAGGUGCUGCAUGGCUGUCGUCAGCUCGUGUCGUGAGAUGUUGGGUUAAGUCCCGCAACGAGCGCAACCCUCGUCCUUAGUUGCCAGCAUUAAGUUGGGCACUCUAAGGAGACUGCCGGUGUUAAACCGGAGGAAGGCGGGGAUGACGUCAAGUCCUCAUGGCCCUUAUGUCCAGGGCUACACACGUGCUACAAUGGCCGGUACAAAGGGUAGCAAGACCGCGAGGUGGAGCCAAUCCCAAAAAGCCGGUCUCAGUUCGGAUUGGAGUCUGCAACUCGACUCCAUGAAGUUGGAAUCGCUAGUAAUCGUGGAUCAGCAUGUCACGGUGAAUACGUUCCCGGGUCUU